CACACCGCCCGUCACACCAUGGGAGUUGGAUUCACUCGAAGGCGUUGAGCUAACCCGCAAGGGGAGGCAGGCGACCACAGUGGGUUUAGCGACUGGGGUG
Molecule: ribosomal RNA, 100 nt
Filed under: uncultured bacterium
Lineage: Bacteria
Description: partial 16S ribosomal RNA
Rfam family: Bacterial small subunit ribosomal RNA
Source: RNAcentral